GUGAAAUUGUUGAAAGGGAAGCGCUUGCAGCCAGACGUGCCCGUAGUUGCUCAUCGGGGGUUCUCCCCCGUGUACUCUUCUAUGGGCAGGCCAGCAUCAGUCCGGGCGGUUGGAGAAAGACCUGUGUCAUGUAGCUGUUUUCGGGCAGUGUUAUAGGGCAGGUGGAAUGCAACCAGCCUGGACUGAGGUCCGCGCAUCUGCUAGGAUGCUGGCGUAAUGGCUGUAAGCGGCCCGUCUUGAAACACGGACCAAGGAGUCUAACAUCUAUGCGAGUGUUUGGGUGUCAAGCCCGAGCGCGUAAUGAAAGUGAACGGAGGUGGGAACCUUUUAGGUGCACCAUCGACCGAUCCUGAUGUCUUCGGAUGGAUUUGAGUAAGAGCAUAGCUGUUGGGACCCGAAAGAUGGUGAACUAUGCCUGAAUAGGGUGAAGCCAGAGGAAACUCUGGUGGAGGCUCGCAGCGGUUCUGACGUGCAAAUCGAUCGUCAAAUUUGGGCAUAGGGGCGAAAGACUAAUCGAACUAUCUAGUAGCUGGUUCCUGCCGAAGUUUCCCUCAGGAUAGCAGUAACGUUUUCAGUUUUAUGAGGUAAAGCGAAUGAUUAGAGGCCUGGGGGUUGAAACAACCUUCACCUAUUCUCAAACUUUAAAUAUGUAAGAAGUCCUUGUUUCUUAAUU
RNAcentral lists this ribosomal RNA (673 nucleotides) under uncultured Ascomycota. Its description in RNAcentral is "LSU rRNA". It matches the Rfam family "Eukaryotic large subunit ribosomal RNA", at positions 399 to 1096 of the family's 3401-position model. Lineage: Eukaryota; Fungi; Ascomycota. The record is from RNAcentral.